GAUGAACGCUGGCGGCGUGCCUAAUACAUGCAAGUCGAGCGAACAGACGAGGAGCUUGCUCCUCUGAUGUUAGCGGCGGACGGGUGAGUAACACGUGGAUAACCUACCUAUAAGACUGGGAUAACUUCGGGAAACCGGAGCUAAUACCGGAUAACAUGUUGAACCGCAUGGUUCAACAGUGAAAGACGGUCUUGCUGUCACUUAUAGAUGGAUCCGCGCCGCAUUAGCUAGUUGGUAAGGUAACGGCUUACCAAGGCAACGAUGCGUAGCAGACCUGAGAGGGUGAUCGGCCACACUGGAACUGAGACACGGUCCAGACUCCUACGGGAGGCAGCAGUAGGGAAUCUUCCGCAAUGGGCGAAAGCCUGACGGAGCAACGCCGCGUGAGUGAAGAAGGUCUUCGGAUCGUAAAACUCUGUUAUUAGGGAAGAACAAAUGUGUAAGUAACUAUGCACGUCUUGACGGUACCUAAUCAGAAAGCCACGGCUAACUACGUG
Molecule: ribosomal RNA, 497 nt
Filed under: uncultured bacterium
Lineage: Bacteria
Description: partial 16S ribosomal RNA
Rfam family: Bacterial small subunit ribosomal RNA
Source: RNAcentral